Paramuricea clavata is the source of this 549-nucleotide non-coding RNA. The record is from the annotation of a GenBank genome assembly. NCBI's taxonomy places the organism in Eukaryota, Metazoa, Cnidaria, Anthozoa, Malacalcyonacea, Plexauridae.
CAUUGAACGCCAUUUUGCUUUGAAGUGAAAUACAACGGCAUGAUUUUAUUUGAGAUUAUAUUAUUUUUCGAUGUCAGUUCAAAAAAGAGCCCUACAGUACAUACAUGUUUUAAUAACAAAUAAUGAUGGUACCAUAUAUUAUGUGAAUUAAAGAUGCUGCUACUCAAAGAAGGUUUCUGUUACUCUUUGGCACUAUAUUUUUGUCCUAUAUGUAAUUGUAAACAUUUGUUAGCUAGUUAGGCAUUAUUUAUUCAUGUAAAUAUAAUUAUAUUUGUAAAUAUAAUUAUAGUUCAAUUUAUUAUUUAAAAUGUGUUAAUUCAUAGAUAUCUUGUAUACACUAGAUAGUGCAUCUAAUUAUUCUGCAAUUCAAAAAUUGAAGCUCAGUGAUUGCAGGCUCAGGAUUUCCCAUAAAAUGAGAAGAUUUGUAUGUUUUCUAUUUCUUAAACAGGGAACUUAAACAUUAAGUUAAACCUAUUCCAAAUACAUUUUUAAACUAUUCAAAUUAUGAAAGUUAUUGUUGUUUUUAAGCGUUUAUAAGUGAGUGGGAAC